RNAcentral lists this ribosomal RNA (492 nucleotides) under uncultured bacterium. Its description in RNAcentral is "partial 16S ribosomal RNA". It matches the Rfam family "Bacterial small subunit ribosomal RNA", at positions 29 to 507 of the family's 1533-position model. The record is from RNAcentral.
AGUGAACGCUGGCGGUAGGCCUAACACAUGCAAGUCGAACGGCAGCACAGUAAGCGCUUGCUCUUACGGGUGGCGAGUGGCGGACGGGUGAGGCAUACAUCGGAAUCUACUUUUUCGUGGGGGAUAACGUAGGGAAACUUACGCUAAUACCGCAUACGACCUACGGGUGAAAGCAGGAGAUCUUCGGACCUUUCGCGAUUGAAUGAGCCGAUGUCGGAUUAGCUAGUUGGCGGGGUAAAGGCCCACCAAGGCGACGAUCCGUAGCUGGUCUGAGAGGAUGAUCAGCCACACUGGAACUGAGACACGGUCCAGACUCCUACGGGAGGCAGCAGUGGGGAAUAUUGGACAAUGGGCGCAAGCCUGAUCCAGCCAUACCGCGUGGGUGAAGAAGGCCUUCGGGUUGUAAAGCCCUUUUGUUGGGAAAGAAAAGCAGCAGGUUAAUACCCCGCUGUUCUGACGGUACCCAAAGAAUAAGCACCGGCUAACUUCGUG